AUUCAUUGGUACGGUGAGUAGUCUGUAGAAAACGUUUAAUUACAGAAUAUUGUCUAGUUAGUAAUCACAGCGUGAUUGUAAUGAUCCUGUGUUUUGGUUUCUUUUAGAUGGGCAGAAGUGGAAACACCCAGAAGGAAAAAAAUUAAACGCAUUCUAGACUCAGGUGUUUAUUAUAUAUUUAGUUUCAUUUCUCUGUUUUUGUCAAAAUGAGAAGAAGAAUUUUAGAUAAAACCAAGUCAUUAAAAUCAAAACAAUUUGAAUAAUAUGUCUCUCUGUUUUAGAUGAUGAAAGUCCCACCAGCACUGACCGUGUAGUAGCUCCAGCAAUGUCAAAUACAAAGGAGUCUAUGCUUCCCAAACAGCCCAGUUCCUCUCCUGUGCCUGAAAAAACAAGGUAUGUUUAGGAUUUUGAACAAUUUUGAAAACAAUACAAAUACAAGAAUACCACAGUUUACCGUGGUAUUUUGGCAAAAACUUACUAUAGUAAAGUUAUUUAAGGAAACGUCCCUGACUGUUUCCCUUUGUUUGCAGGCCGUGUGAAAAACUCAAUCCAUCAACCACAGGUACAAAUGUGUUUGUGUUUUUGAAAACAAAUGAACGAGAAGUAUUAUCAUUCCUUACUGUAAAGAAACGGUUUCAUUCUUUUCAGAAGCUGACGAUGAUGACACAGACAUUGAUUCAGAUGAUUCUCAGAGUUUGUUACAACCAGAAAUGUACCAUAUCACAGUUCCAUGUAGCAUUCUUAUGGACUCUGGACCCUCAGCAGAAUCAGAGUACAGUCUAGAACCUUCUUCACCUGCCGGUGCAGCCCCAGCAGCUAUGUGCACCUCACCUGGGUCUGUCGCGGCCCCUGAACUAGAGGAAACACCAUCCACAAGCAGAACUUCUCCACCGCCCAGAGCUCAAACCACUGACCCUACGCCUAACCAGGACCGUGCCAGCGAUGGUCCCACAGGUCAGCCCGGAUCACCCCCGCAUUCAAGCCCCACUGUUGACGUUUUAGCAGUGUCAAUAUCUGCAGUACAAACACUCUCACUCUUAGUACAAGCAUCUCACUUAAAAUCUGAGCAGCUACCAGAACCUUCUCCUCCGGCAGGGGUUUCUUCAUCACCAGGUCGUCCCGCUGCAGCAGAUGCUUCUGAUGUGGGUACCACAGAGAAAUCCCAGUCCAGUGCUGCCAUAUUCUGGACCAGAUGUAAUGAGGCUGGGUGGACUAAAGAAGUCUUCUCAGAGCUCGUGUCUCAGCUGAGCAGCCUAGGAGAAAGAGUGCUGUCACAGGAAGCCUGCCACCAAGACCUGGAGAAACAGGAAAGGGAUUUGCAGAGGAAAAAAGCAGCAUUGAGGGAUGCCAAAGCUGUACUAGAUGUUUAAUAUAACAAUCUAACAGAAUUAAGAUGUUUUAUCGUUUUUAAAAAUGUUUUUUUAAAGUCCAGAACAUUUCUGCAGUUUGCAUACAUCAGAUGGUUUUGAUCAGACAUUUUUUACAUCAGUAAUAGAAAUCUCAUGAAAUAUAUCUACA
RNAcentral lists this long non-coding RNA (1518 nucleotides) under Sinocyclocheilus grahami. Its description in RNAcentral is "lncRNA (ENSSGRG00000009276.1)". The record is from RNAcentral. Lineage: Eukaryota; Metazoa; Chordata; Actinopteri; Cypriniformes; Cyprinidae.